GGGAAUGUGGCUUAGCGUUAGAGUGCUUGCCUAGCAUGCAUGAAGCCCUGGGUUCGAUUCCUCAGUACCA
RNAcentral lists this transfer RNA (70 nucleotides) under Dipodomys ordii (Ord's kangaroo rat). It matches the Rfam family "tRNA". Rfam says of the family: Transfer RNA (tRNA) molecules are approximately 80 nucleotides in length. Their secondary structure includes four short double-helical elements and three loops (D, anti-codon, and T loops). Further hydrogen bonds mediate the characteristic L-shaped molecular structure. tRNAs have two regions of fundamental functional importance: the anti-codon, which is responsible for specific mRNA codon recognition, and the 3' end, to which the tRNAs corresponding amino acid is attached (by aminoacyl-tRNA synthetases). tRNAs cope with the degeneracy of the genetic code in two manners: having more than one tRNA (with a specific anti-codon) for a particular amino acid; and 'wobble' base-pairing, i.e. permitting non-standard base-pairing at the 3rd anti-codon position. The record is from Rfam by way of RNAcentral. Lineage: Eukaryota; Metazoa; Chordata; Mammalia; Rodentia; Heteromyidae.